RNAcentral lists this non-coding RNA (27 nucleotides) under Rattus norvegicus (Norway rat). The record is from RNAcentral. Lineage: Eukaryota; Metazoa; Chordata; Mammalia; Rodentia; Muridae.
UAAACCUUUGAAGCAUUCUCCAUUCUU